This 1833-nucleotide long non-coding RNA is filed under the name Podarcis muralis (Common wall lizard). Its description in RNAcentral is "lncRNA (ENSPMRG00000022193.1)". Lineage: Eukaryota; Metazoa; Chordata; Lepidosauria; Squamata; Lacertidae. The record is from RNAcentral.
AUGAGUUUGUUGAUGUAUUCUAAGGUUUCUACUUUGACUGAAGCUCUUUCCACAUUCAAUACAUUUAAAGGGUUUCUCCCCUGUGUGUGUUCGUUGAUGUAUUCUAAGGGCUCCACUUUGACUGAAUCUCUUUCCACAGUCAAUGCAUUCAAACGGUUUCACCCCUGUGUGAGUUCGUUGAUGUAUUCUAAGGGGACCACUACUACUAAAGCUCUUUCCACAUUCAAUACAUUUAAAGGGUUUCUCCCCUGUGUGUGUUCGUUGAUGCAUUCUAAGGUUUUGACUUUGACUGAAGCUCUUUCCACAUUCAAAACAUUCAAACGGUUUCACCCCUGUGUGAGUUCGUUGAUGUAUUCUAAGGUCUCCACUACAACUGAAGCUCUUUCCACAUUCAAUACAUUUAAAGGGUUUCUCCCCUGUGUGUGUUCGUUGAUGUAUUCUAAGGUUUCGACUUUCACAGAAGCUCUUUCCACAUUCAAAACAUUCAAAUGGUUUCUCCCCUGUGUGAGUUCGUUGAUGUCUUCUGAGGGAUCCAUUCUGACUGAAGCUCUUUCCACAUUCAAUACAUUUAAAGGGUUUCUCCCCUGUGUGAGUUCGUUGAUGUCUUCUGAGGGAUCCAUUCUGACUGAAGCUCUUUCCACAUUCAAUACAAUUAAAUGGUUUCUCCCCCGUGUGACUUUGUUGAUGUUUUCUAAGGUUUCCACUUUGACUGAAGCUCUUUCCACACUCCAUACAUUCAAACGGUUUCUCCCCUGUGUGAGUUCGUUGAUGUGUUCUAAGGGUUCCACUACAACUGAAGCUCUUUCCACAUUCAAUGCAAUUAAAUGGUUUCUCCCCCGUGUGAGUUCGUUGAUGUGUUCUAAGGGUUCCACUUUCACUGAAGCUCUUUCCACAUUCAAAACAUUCAAACGGUUUCACCCCUGUGUGAGUUCGUUGAUGUAUUCUAAGGUCUCCACUACGACUGAAGUUCUUUCCACAUUCAAUGCAAUUAAAUGGUUUCUCCCCCGUGUGAGUUCGUUGAUGUGUUCUAAGGGUUCCACUUUCACUGAAGCUCUUUCCACACUCCAUACAUUCAAACGGUUUCUCCCCUGUGUGAGUUCGUUGAUGUGUUCUAUGGGCUCCACUAGAACUCAAGCUCUUUCCACAUUCAAUGCAUUCAAAUGGUUUCUCCCCUGUGUGAGUUCGUUGAUGUGUUCUAAGGUGUCCACUACAACUGAAGCUCUUUUCACAUUCAAUGCAAUUAAAUGUUUUCUCCCCCGUGUGAGUUCGUUGAUGUGUUCUAAGGGUUCCACUUUCACUGAAGCUCUUUCCACACUCCAUACAUUCAAACGGUUUCUCCCCUGUGUGAGUUCGUUGAUGUAUUCUAAGGUCUCCACUACGACUGAAGCUUUUUCCACAUUUAAUGCAUUUAAAUGGUUUCUCCCCCGUGUGAGUUUGUUGAUGUCUUCUAAGGACUCCACUUUGACUGAAGCUCUUUCCACAUUCAAAACAUUCAAACGGUUUCACCCCUGUGUGAGUUCGUUGAUGUAUUCUACGGUUUCCACUUUCACGGAAGCUCUUUCCACAUUCAAAACAUUCAAACGGUUUCACCCCUGUGUGAGUUCGUUGAUGUAUUCUAAGGUCUCCACUACGACUGAAGUUCUUUCCACAUUCAAUGCAAUUAAAUGGUUUCUCCCCCGUGUGAGUUCGUUGAUGUGUUCUAAGGUUUCCACUACAACUGAAGCUCUUUCCACACUCCAUACAUUCAAACGGUUUCUCCCCUGUGUGAGUUCGUUGAUGUGUUCUAAGGGCUCCACUAGAACUCAAGCUCUUUCCACACUGCAUACAUUCUAA